UUGGGACUGAGACGGCCCAAACUCCUACGGGAGGCAGCAGUGGGAAUAUUGCACAAUGGGCGGAAGCCUGAUGCAGCAACGCCGCGUGCGGGAUGACGGCCUUCGGGUUGUAAACCGCUUUCAGCAGGGACGAAGCGUGAGUGACGGUACCUGCAGAAGAAGCACCGGCUAACUACGUGCCAGCAGCCGGUGAUACGUAGGGUGCGAGCGUUGUCCGGAUUUAUUGGGCGUAAAGAGCUUGUAGGCGGUUUGUCGCGUCGGGAGUGAAAACUCAGGGCUUAACCCUGAGCCUGCUUCCGAUACGGGCAGACUUGAGGAAGGUAGGGGAGAAUGGAAUUCCUGGUGAAGCGGUGGAAUGCGUAGAUAUCAGGAGGAACACCAGUGGCGAAGGCGGUUCUCUGGACCUUUCCUGACGCUGAUAAGCGAAAGCGUGGGGAGCAAACAGGCUUAGAUACCCUGGUAGUCCACGCCGUAAACGGUGGGUACUAGGUGUGGGGGACAUUCCACGUUCUCCGUGCCGCAGCUAACGCAUUAAGUACCCCGCCUGGGGAGUACGGCCGCAAGGCUAAAACUCAAAGGAAUUGACGGGGCCCCGCACAAGCGGCGGAGCAUGCGGAUUAAUUCGAUGCAACGCGAAGAACCUUACCUGGGUUUGACAUAUGCCGGAAACAUCCAGAGAUGGAUGCCCCUUUUUGGUCGGUUUACAGGUGGUGCAUGGCUGUCGUCAGCUCGUGUCGUGAGAUGUUGGGUUAAGUCCCGCAACGAGCGCAACCCUCGUCCUAUGUUGCCAGCGGGUAAUGCCGGGGACUCAUAGGAGACCGCCGGGGUCAACUCGGAGGAAGGUGGGGAUGACGUCAAGUCAUCAUGCCCCUUAUGUCCAGGGCUUCACGCAUGCUACAAUGGCCGGUACAAAGAGCUGCGAGCCUGUAAGGGUGAGCGAAUCUCAAAAAGCCGGUCUCAGUUCGGAUUGGGGUCUGCAACUCGACCCCAUGAAGUCGGAGUCGCUAGUAAUCGCAGAUCAGCAACGCUGCGGUGAAUACGUUCCCGGGGCUUGUACACACCGCCCGUCAAGUCAUGAAAGUCGGUAACACCCGAAGCCGGUGGCCUAACCCUUGUGGAGGGAGCCGUCGAAGGUGGGACCGGUAAUUAGGACUAAGUCGUAACAAGGUAGCCGUACCGGGGUGCGGCUG
This 1190-nucleotide ribosomal RNA is filed under the name metagenome. RNAcentral describes it as "bacterial SSU rRNA". It matches the Rfam family "Bacterial small subunit ribosomal RNA", at positions 313 to 1520 of the family's 1533-position model. The record is from RNAcentral.